This 875-nucleotide long non-coding RNA is filed under the name Zostera marina. RNAcentral describes it as "long non-coding RNA (ZMAR_LNC001745)". Lineage: Eukaryota; Viridiplantae; Streptophyta; Magnoliopsida; Alismatales; Zosteraceae. The record is from RNAcentral.
UACACAUGGAAUUGAUUUUGGUGCAAGUUUAUUUGGUCUGUAGCUGCGAAGGCAUGGAUAACACCGUGACCCGAAAAUUCGAAGUUUCUCGUGAUCUGGUGGCUGCUGGAACAAGGCUUCGUAUGGUGACAUAUUAUUUAACACUCUGGAUGGAUUACGGUUGUAAGUGUGAGCUGUUGUUAAUACCGCAUAAUCCCAGUAUUUAAUAGGAAUUUUGGCGUGAUGUAGUAUUGUGAGUGCCGUAUCUACUAAAUGCCGGUGUCGUCGCUCAACAGACCCCAUUUGUUGAUGGUUGUACGGGGCGGAGAACCGAUAGCCUAUCCCCACUUUUUCUAAGUUCCUUGCGAGUUUCUUGAAUUCCAACCCAUUGUCUGAUUGUACCUGUUUUAUCGUUGUACCACACUGCCUUUCUGCCCAUACCUGAAAUUUCACAAAUAUUUCUCCUACUUCUGCUUUGCUUUUCAUUGGGAAAACCCAAUUGUAGUUUGUUGAGGCGUCUACGAAAUUGAUAUAGUAACGAAACCCUUCUGAUGAAAUUACCGGGGCUGGUCCCCAUAUAUCAGUGUAGAUCAGAUCAAGAGGAGACGAGUAAAUUUUAUUACUUGGUUUAUGAGGUAGAGCAGUUGAUUUAUUUGUAAGACAAGAAUCACAACUAUUUAUUUUGUUACAGUCCGAUGAACAAUUUUUAUUGCCUAAUUUUUCCAUUGAUCGUUUGUUAAGAUGUCCCAGCCUUGCAUGCCAUUUUUCUCCUGAUAUUCUUUCGCUCGAGAGAACUUGUAUGUGAUUCGUUGUUUUCAUUGGCAAUUUGUAGAGUCCCCCUUCUUGUCUUCCCUCUGCUAUGACUUCAUUAGUCGUGAUAUCGCGAAUCCUUACUU